UCAAUAUGAUGAAAAACCUUAUUUUCAGUUCUGCUUCUGAACCAAAACUUUCCUGAAGAUAACCCUAUACCAAAGCUCAAAUUUCUGAUCU
RNAcentral lists this small nucleolar RNA (91 nucleotides) under Candidozyma auris. The record is from RNAcentral. Lineage: Eukaryota; Fungi; Ascomycota; Pichiomycetes; Serinales; Metschnikowiaceae.